UACGGGGGGGGCAAGCGUUGUUCGGAAUUACUGGGCGUAAAGGCGCGUAGGCGGCCUGCUAAGUCGGACGUGAAAUCCCCCGGCUCAACCGGGAACUGCGUCCGAUACUGGUGGGCUCGAAUCCGGGAGAGGGAUGUGGAAUUCCAGGUGUAGCGGUGAAAUGGCGCAGAUAUCAGGAGGAACACCGGUGGCGAAGGCGGGUCUCUGGG
RNAcentral lists this ribosomal RNA (209 nucleotides) under uncultured bacterium. RNAcentral's name for it is "partial 16S ribosomal RNA". It matches the Rfam family "Bacterial small subunit ribosomal RNA", at positions 524 to 733 of the family's 1533-position model. The record is from RNAcentral.